UACAGAGGGGGCAAGCGUUGUUCGGAAUUGCUGGGCGUAAAGGGCGCGUAGGCGGCCACCUAAGUCAGACGUGAAAUCCCUCGGCUCAACCGGGGAACUGCGUCUGAUACUGGGUGGCUUGAAUCCGGGAGAGGGAUGCGGAAUUCCAGGUGUAGCGGUGAAAUGCGUAGAUAUCUGGAGGAACACCGGUGGCGAAGGCGGCGUUCUGGACUGCAACUGACACUGAGGAACGAAAGCCAGGGGAGCAAACGGG
This 253-nucleotide ribosomal RNA is filed under the name uncultured bacterium. RNAcentral describes it as "partial 16S ribosomal RNA". It matches the Rfam family "Bacterial small subunit ribosomal RNA", at positions 524 to 776 of the family's 1533-position model. The record is from RNAcentral.